This 72-nucleotide transfer RNA is filed under the name Toxocara canis (dog roundworm). It matches the Rfam family "tRNA". From Rfam's summary of the family: Transfer RNA (tRNA) molecules are approximately 80 nucleotides in length. Their secondary structure includes four short double-helical elements and three loops (D, anti-codon, and T loops). Lineage: Eukaryota; Metazoa; Nematoda; Chromadorea; Rhabditida; Toxocaridae. The record is from Rfam by way of RNAcentral.
AGGGCAGUAGCUCAGUGGUAGAGCUCAUGUUUCAUACGCGGGAAGACCUGGGUUCGAUUCUUGGCUGCCUUC